This 253-nucleotide ribosomal RNA is filed under the name uncultured bacterium. RNAcentral describes it as "partial 16S ribosomal RNA". It matches the Rfam family "Bacterial small subunit ribosomal RNA", at positions 524 to 776 of the family's 1533-position model. The record is from RNAcentral.
UACGGAGGGGGCUAGCGUUGUUCGGAAUUACUGGGCGUAAAGCGCACGUAGGCGGCUUUGCAAGUUAGAGGUGAAAGCCCGGGGCUCAACUUCGGAAUUGCCUUUAAAACUGCAGAGCUAGAAUUGUGGAGAGGUGAGUGGAAUUCCGAGUGUAGAGGUGAAAUUCGUAGAUAUUCGGAAGAACACCAGUGGCGAAGGCGACUCACUGGACACAUAUUGACGCUGAGGUGCGAAAGCGUGGGGAGCAAACAGG